UCACUCUUCUCCCUUCUUUCUUUCCCCGACCACCCUUUUCCCCAGCAACCACCCUAAAGAGCACUGUUAUCCCUAGUUUCUGGUUGAAGUUCGACCGUAAACUUCAUCCCAAACCCAAAACACGAUGAAUGUUCUUCAUGAACAUUCAUCCCCAAACCCAUUUCUUCAACAUUCGUGAACCAUACUCUGUAUUCAACAUGGACCCUAACCUACAAACCCAAAAAUGAUGAACCCUCGCCUAGGUUCAACAUGAACCCUAACCUCCAAAAACGAGAAACAAUGAACCUUAACCCUUACCCUAACCUAAACCCAGAAAUACCCUAAACCUACCCAGAUCGAAAUCAAACUACCUUCGAACCUUAAAUCAGAACCUUCUUAAUCUUAAUUCCACAUGCAAACAAAUAAUCAAUCAUCGAAAAUCCUGAAACCCUAAACCCCUCUUAAUCCCAAACCCUAACCUUAAUCAUCAAACAAACACAACAACAACAACAUUAUAAACAAGGUAACAAACCCAACACUUUUUGCGCCUUAAUAUCUUUUCACCCAAAUGAAUAUAAGAAUCCAAACCCAUCAUUGUUCAGUAAUGCAAUUUUUUUUCCUCAUUGUGCCUGCUAGACCCUUCGAAUAGCUAUAUUAACUAUAUCUGAGUCAUCAAUGAUGUAAAGUUACAUAUCAUUUGCAUGCAAGACUAAUCUUGGUAUGAAAAUGGUUAGUUUUUGCGUGCCUAAAGAAAAUACUGAUUUAGUAGUCUGGUUGCAGGAUGAUAGCUCAAAAGAUUAUAUUGACAUUCAACAAAACAGUUGUAAUGGGCUAUAUAUCUCAGUGGUAUUUAUUUCGCCUUUUCUGUUUGUAUUAUUACCCUUUAUUCCUCAAUGUGAAAAUUAUAUUUAGUUUGAA
Molecule: long non-coding RNA, 897 nt
Filed under: Lathyrus oleraceus (garden pea)
Lineage: Eukaryota; Viridiplantae; Streptophyta; Magnoliopsida; Fabales; Fabaceae
Description: Pisum sativum (pea) long non-coding RNA (PSAT_LNC039526)
Source: RNAcentral